ACUUAAAGAUAGGGGCCAUUAAGGACGUGGUUAAGGUUAAAGGGGGUUGUUAGGGUGGGACUUCCUCCAGUAUGAACGGUGUCCUAACAAAAAGAGAUGAGGACACAGAUCCACACAGAGGAAUGACAGUGAGAAGGCUGCCAUCUGUGACUCAAGGAGAGUCCUCAGAAGACACCAAUCCUGCUGACACUUGAUCUCGGACUUUCAGUCUCCAGAAUUUUAAAGGCUUUGAGAGCUGUGAGGAAGACUUUGAAGAUUAUUUGACUCAAACUUUCCUCGGUGCACACCACCCCCCACCGUAACUCGACCGCAGGAGAGGAAACAAGACCGGGUGUGGUGACACCUCCACCAUGACACAGCACCUCGGCCGCAAACAGCUGCAGCAAAGGCUUGGUUCAGUAGGAAACAUCACCCGGCAGAAUUGCAAAGGCCUAAGUUUCACAGUGAGGUGGCCCCAUCACAAGGAGAUUCUCAACCUUGGCUGCACAUUCAAAUCAUUUGGGGGAGAGUUUUAAAAGUAUGCAUUCCUGCUCUGCUAUGCUGGAGACAUAGAUGGAACCAUCUGGCGAGGGGCCUGGGCAUCAGCAUUUUUAGAGCUUCUUGUAGGUGAUUCUUGUGCAUCCCCAGUGUAAGUGCCUCUCCUGAUGAACCACCUCAUCUACUCUGCUCUGCAACAGACAGCCUCAAACCCACCCCCAAACACACGCUGAGACUCUGAUGUGGUCGCAGUAGCUGUGAAAGUGCUAAGUGCCACUCACGUAGUCUCUGGACGAGGUCUUACUCUCCUGUCCAGGCCGAUCUCAAACUCCUGGCCUCAAGCAAUCCUUCUGUUUCCUUGUCCUCUGGAGUCACUGGAAUUACAGAUGUGAACCACCACAACCAGCUAAAGUCUUCCAGAUUCAUGCCUGGCAGUUCUUCAGAUUUAACACAUGGAUUCCAAGGUUUGUUUGAUUGCUGCCACUCCAGUGGAACAAGUCCAGGAUCUGCAGUUUUGUCUUAGUAGACACUUCACUUAUUCCUGGCCUAAGCCUAGUCACUCAGCCACAUCUAGCUGCAAUGAAGGCUGGGAAAUAUAGUUCCCACGAGAUAGCCAUAUGUCUAGCCAAAACUCAGGGGGCUGGAAGCCUAAAAGAAAGAGGGGAAGGCCUCGUUAGUCAAGAGACAUUAUGAAAACUGUAACAGGACCAUCAGUGGGGAUGGAGAGGAAGGCUUGGUGACCAAGAGUGGAUGGAAGGGAGAGGGAAAGCAGACCUAAGAGAUUCCUCCGGCUCCAGUGACAGGGUGAAGGUGGAGAAAUUCAAGAAAGGGAACGUGGCAGGGAGAAGCUGUGGGGAUGUCAGGACAGUGGUUUAAGGCAGGUGCUAUCAAGUGUGGCCCAUGUGACCUGCUUUUGUAAUUUUUGGAGAACACAGCAAUACCCAUUCACUUACAUAUUGCCUAUGGCUACUUUUGCGCUACAACACAGUUGAGGAGACACAGGCCACGUGGCCCAGAAAGCGAAAUAUAUUCACUGUCUGACCCUUUACAGAGAAAGGUUGCCAACCUCUGGUUCAAGGUGCAUCUGGGUGGAGACAUGUCAUGAACACAGGGGUGGCCAGAGCUCUAUGUGAUGAGAGAACCAAAGGGAGCAGGUGAAGUGAUGAGUGAAUGAAAUCACUCAAGGAGAGAGUGAGGGGUGGACCAGGAGAGAACCCGUGAAUGCCACCUAAAUUUAAGAACUGGAGAGACGAGUGUUAGAAGGAGACUGAUGAAUAGACAGCCGUGCCCCAAGAAGACACUGGAGAGGGCUCCUUUGGGAGCCUGAAGGGAGAUCUUUGUAAAGGGGAUGUGUUCACAAAAGUCAAGUCCUCGGAGACCCCGACAGGAGCCCUUCAGGAGUGGUGGGGACAGAAGCCAGGUCACAGGAGCUGAAGAACCAGUGGAAAUGAGAAAGUGGACAUAGAGAUGUGUAGAUAAUUCUUUCAAGGAAAUUAUUUCCGAAGAGAGAGGGAAAAAAGAAAACACUACCAGGCUGAGUGUGCAGUCGGGUUGAGGAAAGGCUGAUGUUUUUUUUCUUUUUUGAGACAGUCUCGCUUUCUCAGCAGGCUGGAGUGCAGUGGCACGAUCUCAGCCCACUGCAACUUCCUCCUUUCAGGUUCAAGCAAUUCUCCU
Piliocolobus tephrosceles (Ugandan red Colobus) is the source of this 2151-nucleotide long non-coding RNA. RefSeq lists it as uncharacterized. The record is from RefSeq and is a predicted model, not a curated record. NCBI's taxonomy places the organism in Eukaryota, Metazoa, Chordata, Mammalia, Primates, Cercopithecidae. The transcript has 4 exons.